Molecule: ribosomal RNA, 487 nt
Filed under: uncultured bacterium
Lineage: Bacteria
Description: partial 16S ribosomal RNA
Rfam family: Bacterial small subunit ribosomal RNA
Source: RNAcentral
UGGGGAAUAUUGGACAAUGGGGGCAACCCUGAUCCAGCAAUGCCGCGUGUGUGAAGAAGGUCUUCGGAUUGUAAAGCACUUUCGACGGGGACGAUGAUGACGGUACCCGUAGAAGAAGCCCCGGCUAACUUCGUGCCAGCAGCCGCGGUAAUACGAAGGGGGCUAGCGUUGCUCGGAAUGACUGGGCGUAAAGGGCGUGUAGGCGGUUUACACAGUCAGAUGUGAAAUCCCCGGGCUUAACCUGGGAGCUGCAUUUGAUACGUGUAGACUAGAGUGUGAGAGAGGGUUGUGGAAUUCCCAGUGUAGAGGUGAAAUUCGUAGAUAUUGGGAAGAACACCGGUGGCGAAGGCGGCAACCUGGCUCAUGACUGACGCUGAGGCGCGAAAGCGUGGGGAGCAAACGAUGAUAGAUACCCUGGUAGUCCACGCUGUAAACGAUGUGUGCUAGAUGUUGGGUAACUUUGUUAUUCAGUGUCGCAGUUAACGCG